RNAcentral lists this ribosomal RNA (1346 nucleotides) under uncultured bacterium. Its description in RNAcentral is "partial 16S ribosomal RNA". It matches the Rfam family "Bacterial small subunit ribosomal RNA", at positions 28 to 1381 of the family's 1533-position model. The record is from RNAcentral.
GACGAACGCUGGCGGCGUGCUUAACACAUGCAAGUCGAACGGAAAGGCCCUGCUUUUGUGGGGUGCUCGAGUGGCGAACGGGUGAGUAACACGUGAGUAACCUGCCCUUGACUUUGGGAUAACUUCAGGAAACUGGGGCUAAUACCGGAUAGGAGCUCCUGCUGCAUGGUGGGGGUUGGAAAGUUUCGGCGGUUGGGGAUGGACUCGCGGCUUAUCAGCUUGUUGGUGGGGUAGUGGCUUACCAAGGCUUUGACGGGUAGCCGGCCUGAGAGGGUGACCGGCCACAUUGGGACUGAGAUACGGCCCAGACUCCUACGGGAGGCAGCAGUGGGGAAUAUUGCACAAUGGGCGGAAGCCUGAUGCAGCAACGCCGCGUGCGGGAUGACGGCCUUCGGGUUGUAAACCGCUUUCGCCUGUGACGAAGCGUGAGUGACGGUAAUGGGUAAAGAAGCACCGGCUAACUACGUGCCAGCAGCCGCGGUGAUACGUAGGGUGCGAGCGUUGUCCGGAUUUAUUGGGCGUAAAGGGCUCGUAGGUGGUUGAUCGCGUCGGAAGUGUAAUCUUGGGGCUUAACCCUGAGCGUGCUUUCGAUACGGGUUGACUUGAGGAAGGUAGGGGAGAAUGGAAUUCCUGGUGGAGCGGUGGAAUGCGCAGAUAUCAGGAGGAACACCAGUGGCGAAGGCGGUUCUCUGGGCCUUUCCUGACGCUGAGGAGCGAAAGCGUGGGGAGCGAACAGGCUUAGAUACCCUGGUAGUCCACGCUGUAAACGGUGGGUACUAGGUGUGGGGUCCAUUCCACGGGUUCCGUGCCGUAGCUAACGCUUUAAGUACCCCGCCUGGGGAGUACGGCCGCAAGGCUAAAACUCAAAGGAAUUGACGGGGCCCCGCACAAGCGGCGGAGCAUGCGGAUUAAUUCGAUGCAACGCGUAAAACCUUACCUGGGUUUGACAUGGAUCGGGAGUGCUCAGAGAUGGGUGUGCCUCUUUUGGGGUCGGUUCACAGGUGGUGCAUGCCUGUCGUCAGCUCGUGUCGUGAGAUGUUGGGUUAAGUCCCGCAACGAGCGCAACCCUUGUUCACUGUUGCCAGCACGUUAUGGUGGGGACUCAGUGGAGACCGCCGGGGUCAACUCGGAGGAAGGUGGGGAUGGCGUCAAGUCAUCAUGCCCCUUAUGUCCAGGGCUUCACGCAUGCUACAAUGGCUGGUACAGAGAGUGGCGAGCCUGUGAGGGUGAGCGAAUCUCGGAAAGCCGGUCUCAGUUCGGAUUGGGGUCUGCAACUCGACCUCAUGAAGUCGGAGUCGCUAGUAAUCGCAGAUCAGCAACGCUGCGGUGAAUACGUUCCCGGGGCU